AUGAACGCUGGCGGCGUGCCUAAUACAUGCAAGUCGAGCGAACAGACGAGGAGCUUGCUCCUCUGACGUUAGCGGCGGACGGGUGAGUAACACGUGGAUAACCUACCUAUAAGACUGGGAUAACUUCGGGAAACCGGAGCUAAUACCGGAUAAUAUAUUGAACCGCCUGGUUCAAUAGUGAAAGACGGUUUUGCUGUCACUUAUAGAUGGAUCCGCGCCGCAUUAGCUAGUUGGUAAGGUAACGGCUUACCAAGGCAACGAUGCGUAGCCGACCUGAGAGGGUGAUCGGCCACACUGGAACUGAGACACGGUCCAGACUCCUACGGGAGGCAGCAGUAGGGAAUCUUCCGCAAUGGGCGAAAGCCUGACGGAGCAACGCCGCGUGAGUGAUGAAGGUCUUCGGAUCGUAAAACUCUGUUAUUAGGGAAGAACAAAUGUGUAAGUAACUAUGCACGUCUUGACAGUACCUAAUCAGAAAGCCACGGCUAACUACGUG
Molecule: ribosomal RNA, 496 nt
Filed under: uncultured bacterium
Lineage: Bacteria
Description: partial 16S ribosomal RNA
Rfam family: Bacterial small subunit ribosomal RNA
Source: RNAcentral